GCGCCUGUGAGGCCGGGGCCGGCGGCUGAACGGCUUGGAACCCGAAACGCCUCGGCUUUCCUGCGGACCCGCGCGCGGCCGCUGCCCCCGGACGCUUGAGAAGAGGCAGAGUCUCGCUUUGUUGUCCAGGCUGGUCUUGAACUCCUGAGCUCAAGUGAUCCUCCCGCCUUGGCCUCCCAGAGUGCUGAGAUUACAGAGAGAGAAUGCUAAUGAGCUGUGAAAUGACCAAAGAUCUGGCAGCAGAAGGGAAGAGAAAAAAUAACGGUGGAUACCAAGGUGUGGGAUUACUGAGUCAAACGAUAGGCGCAUCCAAAGUGCGAAGGACUACUGCCCAAUGUGUUCUCCAAAAAGGUUGGCCAGUUUAUAUUCCCAGGAAUAUGAAUAUUUUCUGUCCACAAUUGGUUGAAUCUGUGGAUGUGGAAACUGCAGAUACAGAUGAAGAGCCGACUAUACUAGCUUUUUGUUUUCUUUUUCACUUCUGGUGUGUGUGUAUGUGUGUGGGUGUGUGUGUGUGUUUUAUUAAUCUCUUUGCCUGCAUAUUAGUUUCUUUCUCUUUAUUUGGAUUUUCACUAACAUUCUUUUCAGCUUCUUUAGUUGGAUACUUGUUGCCAAUAUACUUUUUUCAUUAUAAGAAUUAAAUAAACCACCAUACCCAGCCUUUAUAUAUAUCAUCUUUCCCUUAGUUUCUAAGGCUCAAAGUCAUACCCUUCCUUGAUUCCUCAUAUUUUCUCCAGAGUCAGUUAAUUAUACAUCCUAUCAAUCCUCUUUCCUGUAAUUUCCUCUUUUUGCCAUUACAUGGCUCACACACCUGCUAUGAUCCCUUAUUAUUUCUUCUUUUGGAGCAUUUUAGUAUUCUUCCAGAGAAGCAGGACAGUUAAAUGUGGCAAUAUUUUGACUCAUUUGUUUUCAAAAUUUGUGAUUUGGAUUCUUCCCCCAUCCCCUGCCCCAAUAACAAAACUUACCUUAUACACAGUCACAGCUUUCUUUGCUGCCCACUCUCUGAUACUAAGGAGGAAGAAUUCUUUGAUGAAUGAGCAAAGUUUCAAGACUUUGUGUCUUCUGGGUAAUGGGUAUAUUCCAGAAGGGCUAAAUGGAUUUACAUUAGAAGAGCAAGAAACUGUUCAAAAGCAAAGAAUUUAAUAGAGCUGAAACCUAAAGGAUGAGUAGGGACUCUCAGGGCAACCCAGAGAAAGAUGGAGUUGUAUUCCAGACAGAGGGGUGGUAUGGUUUGGAUCUGUGUCCCCACCAAAUCUCAUGUCGAAUUGUAAUCUCCAGUGUUGGAGGUGGGGCCUGGCAGGAAGUGACAAGAUCAUGGGGACGGAUUUCUCAUGAAUGGUUUAGCACUAUCCUGUUGGUGCUGUUCUCAUGAUAGUGAGUUCUUGCAAGAUCUGGUUGUUUCAAAGUACGUGGCACUUCCCCCCUUUCCUCUCUCUCUUGCCCUCAUUCUAGCCAUGUGAGAUGGCUGCUUCCUCUUCACCUUCCACCAUGGUUGUAAGUUUCCUGAGGCCUCCCCAGUAACCAAGCAAAUAACAGCAUCAUGCUUCCUGUACAGCAUGAGGAACUGUGAGCUAGUUAAACCUCUUUUGUUUUUAAAUUACCCUGUCUCAGGUAUUUCUUUCUAGCAGUGUGAGAAUGGACAAUACAAGGGGGAAGCACAAGCAAAGACAGAAGGAAAAUACAACAGGGUGCCUGUGAGUGUGUGUGUGCAUUUGUGUGUGUAUGUGGUGGAGUCUACAAAGAGUCACUGUGAGCCAGGGAGUGGGCAGUGCUGAGAAUGGACAGAAAAGAUUCAUGUGCCAAGUUGAGAAAUAUAAUUUGGGGAGUCACAGAACUAUUGUUAAGUGAAAGGUGAGAUCACAUGGCCACAUUAGUUGCCACGUUUCUAGCUUUGGAUGGCAUCUUUCACCAAGCAGGACUCAAUGGGGAGGAAGCAGGGGGUAUGGGUUGAGGGUUCUGAUGAGACUGCGACUGCUACUCUUUCCUGCUUCAUUAGUGUUGUUUGUGACACCCAGAAGAGCUGAAGGGGGCAUCUUUGUGGGGAUGGAGUAAAAGGGCAGCCCUCAGAAAGGGGGUUCCUGGGAUAGUCAAAAUGUGUUUACCAGGAAGGGAGGCAGAAUUAAGGAACUGGCAACAUAGCUGGGAAGUUGACUGCAUGGGUUGUCAUAUCUAAAAGAGAUUUCAAAGAUGGAAACAUUAGCAUGGGCGAAGUUGAGAUCUCAGCCCCCUCAUUUUACUGUUCCCCUACUUGUGAAAUUCCUUUUAGUUCUUCAGGGCCCAUCUGAAAUGCCAGCUUCUCUCUGAAGGUUUUCCUUUAGACCCUGGCUGGAAGAUACCUCUUUCUCUUUGGAAACUCUAUAAUUCGUGGUUUGCAAGUAUUUUAUGGCUUUGAAUUUCCACUUAUGUGUAAGAUCCCCGAAGAUUGUUUUGCUUAUCUUUGUAUCUUCUCCACCACCUGAGACUCUCUGUUCUGUGUAGGAUCUCUACUGAAGAAAUCAUAAUGAACUGAAUCUGCACUUUCGCAGGGAAAGUACGUGCUACAGGAUUUAAUAAAUAUGAAUCUUAAUGAAAUAGCUCAA
Macaca mulatta (Rhesus monkey) is the source of this 2576-nucleotide long non-coding RNA. The record is from Ensembl. Lineage: Eukaryota; Metazoa; Chordata; Mammalia; Primates; Cercopithecidae.